RNAcentral lists this ribosomal RNA (1898 nucleotides) under human gut metagenome. RNAcentral's name for it is "bacterial LSU rRNA". It matches the Rfam family "Bacterial large subunit ribosomal RNA", at positions 3 to 1991 of the family's 2925-position model. The record is from RNAcentral.
UUAAGCUAAGAAGAGCGUAGGGAGAAUGCCUUGGCAUUAGGAGCCGAUGAAGGACGUGAUAAGCUGCGAUAAGCUGCGGGGAUCAGCAAGUAUGAAUUGAUCCGCAGAUUUCCGAAUGGAGCAAUCCGUAUGUGUAUGCACAUACAUCAUAUACUGAAUCAAAUAGGUAUAUGAGGGGAACCGCCUGAACUGAAACAUCUAAGUAGGGCGAGGAAGAGAAAUCAACCGAGAUUCUGUGAGUAGUGGCGAGCGAAAGCGGAAGAGGCUAAACCAUAGGUAGCAAUACUUAUGGGGUUUCGGACAGCAUUUAGUAUUGAUAAUUUCUAGUUGAAACGUGUGGGAAAACGUACCGAAGAGUGUGAGAGUCACGUAAGCGAAAGAGAAAGUCAGCGAGCUGUAUCCAAAGUACCGCGGGACACGUGAAACCCCGUGGGAAGAUGGGGGGACCAUCCUCCAAGCCUAAAUACUACCUAAUGACCGAUAGCGAAUAGUACUGUGAAGGAACGGUGAAAAGAACCCCGGGAGGGGAGUGAAAAAGAACCUGAAACCCUAUGCUUACAAGCACCGAGAGCACGUCAAAGUGUGAUCGGGUACCUUUUGUAGAAUGGUCCGGCGAGUUAUUGUAUGCGGCAAGGUUAAGUGCUUAAGGCACGGAGCCGAAGCGAGAGCAAGUCUGAAUAGGGCGAAUAAGUCGUAUGCAAUAGACCCGAAACCGAGUGACCUAUCCAUGUCCAGGCUGAAGUGGAGGUAAAACUCCAUGGAGGGCCGAACACACGUCCGUUGAAAAGGCCGGUGAUGAGGUGUGGAUAGCGGAGAAAUUCCAAUCGAACUCGGAUAUAGCUGGUUCUCUCCGAAAUAGCUUUAGGGCUAGCCUCGUGAAAGAUUACUGGAGGUAAAGCACUGAAUGGGCUAGGGGUCGAAAGAUUACUGAACCCUAUCAAACUAAGAAUGCCAGAUAAUUGAUUCACGGGAGUCAGACAAUGUGAGAUAAGUCUCAUUGUCAAAAGGGAAACAGCCCAGACCCACAGCUAAGGUCCCUAAACAUUGUUAAGUGGAAAAGGAUGUGGGGUUGCAUAAACAACCAGGAUGUUGGCUUAGAAGCAGCCACUCAUUAAAAGAGUGCGUAAUAGCUCACUGGUCGAGUGACCCUGCGCCGAAAAUUCAACGGGGCUAAACAAUGUACCGAAGCUUGGGAUUCUAGAUUUAUCUAGAGUGGUAGGAGAGCGUCGAAUAAGGGGUGAAGUCAGAGCGGAAGCGCUGGUGGACUUUAUUCGAGUGAGAAUGCCGGAAUGAGUAGCGAGAAUUAUGUGAGAAUCAUAAUGGCCGAAAAUCUAAGGUUUCCUGAGGAAGGUUCGUCCGCUCAGGGUAAGCCGGGGGCUAAGGCGAGGCGGAGACGCGUAGCCGAUGCACAUACGGUUGAAAUUCCGUAGCCACCGAAAGAUUUAAGUACAGGGACGCUUUAGAAGUGAUGUUGCCGGGCGAUGGUUGACCCGGUCGUAAGGGAUCGAAAAUGAGUAGAGAAGUCAUCAUGGAAAGAGACAAGAAAAGCUGUAUGAAUAUCUUAGGUGCCCGUACCGCAAACCGACACAGGUAGAUAGGAAGAAGAUUCUAAGGCCAACGGGAGAAGGGUUGUUAAGGAACUCGGCAAGUUGACCCCGUAACUUAGGGAUAAGGGGUGCUCAAGUGAUUGAGCCGCAGAGAAUAGGCCCAGGCGACUGUUUAGCAAAAACACAGGUCUCUGCUAAAUCGAAAGAUGACGUAUAGGGGCUGACACCUGCCCGGUGCCGGAAGGUUAAGAGGAGAUGUGAGAGCAUUGAAUUGAAGCCCCGGUAAACGGCGGCCGUAACUAUAACGGUCCUAAGGUAGCGAAAUUCCUUGUCAGGUAAGUUCUGACCCGC